Sinocyclocheilus anshuiensis is the source of this 282-nucleotide long non-coding RNA. RefSeq lists it as uncharacterized. The record is from RefSeq and is a predicted model, not a curated record. Lineage: Eukaryota; Metazoa; Chordata; Actinopteri; Cypriniformes; Cyprinidae. The transcript has 3 exons.
GCCCUCUAAGUGGUCUCAUAAGCUAACCUCUUCCCGAGUGCCUGUCUACCUCGACAGUGAGGAACAACUGUCCUGUUCGCCUAUCUGAGAGGAGUGCUGCAGAGGACACCAACACAAAUGAGCUUCACAGAUGAAGUGCAGAGGCCAUCAUAUAUGCCCUGGCUGUCCUACGGAAUUUCUCAUUGCAGGAGGCUGAGCAGGUCUUCCUUUCUGGUCCGGAUUAUCAUUACAGGAGUUGAAGCCUACAGCCUUUCUGUCCAUGCAGCAACUGAUGGAAAAGGG